GUGCCCAUUUCGGCAGCACAUAUACUAAAACUGGAAUGAUACAGAGAUUAGCAUGGCCCCUGUGCAAGGAUGACAGGGAAAUUCGUGAAACAUUCCAUAUCUUG
Small nuclear RNA from Leptonychotes weddellii (Weddell seal), 104 nucleotides. The record is from RefSeq and is a predicted model, not a curated record. Lineage: Eukaryota; Metazoa; Chordata; Mammalia; Carnivora; Phocidae.